AUGAUUGAGUUAGGGAGUUCAAGUGGUGCUGCUAAUGGGGAAAGGAGGCUAUGGAAUAUUAUUUGGAAGGCUCAGGUCCCUCAGAAAAUCAGAAUUUUUGCAUGGCGUGCUGCGACACAAAGUUUGGCGGUUCAAGUUAACAGAGUUAAACACCACCAAACUAUCAUUGAUCUGUGCUUGAUUUGUGGCGUAGAAGAUGAAUCUAUAUUUCAUGCACUGGUAAGCUGUCCUAAGGCUCGUGCGUUACGUCUGGCGGUAAGGGAGGUAUGGAAUUUACCAGAUGAAGUGGUUUUCAAUUUUACGGGGCCGGAUUGGUUACUUGUCUUAUUGGAUCAAGUAAGGCCGCCGGUGCGUGAGCAAAUUAUAUUCAUGUUUUGGAGGGCUUGGCAUCUGAGGAAUGAUUUGAUUUUUGGUAAGGGAAAGGAAAAAAUCUCCGACUCAGUGAGGUUCAUUCAGAAUUACUGGACGUCCUUCUCGUCCUGUCAUCCCAAUGUCAAGAUGGCUCCCGCUACGGAGAUCAUUAAGAUUAAUGUUGAUGCAAGUUAUGUGGAGGCUUUAAGGGCUGCAAGUGUGGGCGUCAUGGCCAGGAACCAUACUGGAGAAGUUAUCAUAUCGUCCUGGGAUUAUAUUGGGGUGUGCAAUAGCGCGGAAGAAGCGGAACUGAGAGGGACCCUUGCGGGGCUAUACAUUGGUAUUACUCUCCACAAGGCCAUCAUUUUAGAAACGAAUUGUUCUUUUGUGGCUUCUUUCCUUCGAAAUGAUCUUCUAGACAGGUCUCCUCUGGUGGAUCUAAAGAUAGAAGCUUUGAGUUUAGCCAAAAUGAUGAUAAAUUGCAAGAUAUCCAAGAUUAACAGAACGGCUAAUAGGGUGGCGCACGAGAUUGUGAAGUUCAGCUUUGAUAAUAGGUCCGAUGGUGUGCUCCUUAAUAGUGUUUCGCCCUGCGUGGCUGAUUUUGUAACGGAUGAUUGUAUGAAUAUUUUAAGUUAA
This 987-nucleotide ribosomal RNA is filed under the name Triticum aestivum (bread wheat). Its description in RNAcentral is "partial small subunit ribosomal RNA". The record is from RNAcentral. Lineage: Eukaryota; Viridiplantae; Streptophyta; Magnoliopsida; Poales; Poaceae.